RNAcentral lists this ribosomal RNA (467 nucleotides) under uncultured bacterium. RNAcentral describes it as "bacterial SSU rRNA". It matches the Rfam family "Bacterial small subunit ribosomal RNA", at positions 337 to 796 of the family's 1533-position model. The record is from RNAcentral.
UCCUACGGGAGGCAGCAGUUAAGAAUAUUCCGCAAUGGACGAAAGUCUGACGGAGCGACGCCGCGUGGAUGAUGAAGGCCGGAAGGUUGUAAAAUCCUUUAGCAAGUGAGGAAUAAGUAGAGAAGGGAAUGUCUCUAUGGUGACUGUAACUUGAGAAUAAGCAUCGGCUAAUUACGUGCCAGCAGCCGCGGUAACACGUAAGAUGCUAGCGUUGUUCGGAAUUAUUGGGCGUAAAGGGCAUGUAGGCGGUUAUUCAAGUCUGGUGUGAAAUCUCGGAGCUUAACUCCGAAACUGCAUUGGAAACUAAGUAACUAGAAUUGCUGAGAGGAAGUCGGAAUUCCAGGUGUAGGGGUGAAAUCUGUAGAGAUCUGGAAGAACACCAAUGGCGAAGGCAGACUUCUAGCAGAUAAUUGACGCUGAGGUGCGAAGGGACGGGGAGCAAACAGGAUUAGAUACCCUGGUAGUCC